CCUACGGGACGCAGCAGUGGGGAAUAUUGCACAAUGGGCGAAAGCCUGAUGCAGCAACGCCGCGUGAAGGAAGAAUGCCUUCGGGUCGUAAACUUCUGCCCUUGGGGAAGAAGAACUGACGGUACCCAAGGAGGAAGCCCCGGCUAACUACGUGCCAGCAGCCGCGGUAAUACGUAGGGGGCAAGCGUUAUCCGGAUUUACUGGGUGUAAAGGGAGCGUAGACGGCAGGGCAAGUCUGGAGUGAAAGGCGGGGGCUCAACCCCCGGACUGCUCUGGAAACUGCCAGGCUGGAGUGCAGGAGAGGG
This 305-nucleotide ribosomal RNA is filed under the name uncultured bacterium. Its description in RNAcentral is "bacterial SSU rRNA". It matches the Rfam family "Bacterial small subunit ribosomal RNA", at positions 338 to 658 of the family's 1533-position model. The record is from RNAcentral.